AUACUGAUAUUUUAAAUCAGUAACUCGCAAGUGAUCUCAAUCGAUAAGUUUUCGCUAUCGCUUUAAUGUGGGAACAUAUGUACAUUGUAUAUUCUAUAAUGAAAGUAAAGAACAUAAAAAAUCAAACUUCGUAUAUUUGUGGCAAUCGUUCGAAGAAAUGUUCAAUUUUAAGACUUUUGAUAUGCCCUUUGAAAUCACUUCCCUAGUGUUUAGAAAUGUGUAGUAUUUACACGAAUCAGGUGAAACAUAUCUCUUCUAAACCGAUGACUAAAACAUACAAAUAGCGUCCACCAGGAUGAUUACUAGCCGAGAGUACUAUUAAUGCGAGUUGUUUUGUUUAUUCCACUUUAAGAUUCCUGUAGUGGUAUAAAGUAAGUGCCGGCCCUUCUCCAUCUGUAAGUAAGUGUUACAAUUUUUGGCAUCGGGUGAGUAUGUAAGUAUGUACAUAAAUGCAUGUGCUUCACACUUGCGACUAUGUACAUAGGUGCACAUGUACAUAUAUUAACAAUAAGCUUUGAGUGGAAUAUUCACCUAAUAUAAUUUAUGUGUAUGCAUUGGUUUUUUCUUGAAUGUUCGACAUAUUCACAAAUUUGCUUUACACAUUUGCUUAAAGAAAUUAAGUAAAUAAAUAAAUUAUUAAUAA
Molecule: long non-coding RNA, 643 nt
Filed under: Drosophila melanogaster (fruit fly)
Lineage: Eukaryota; Metazoa; Arthropoda; Insecta; Diptera; Drosophilidae
Description: long non-coding RNA:sphinx (Dmel_CR34154)
Source: RNAcentral